Molecule: long non-coding RNA, 316 nt
Organism: Mustela lutreola (European mink)
Lineage: Eukaryota; Metazoa; Chordata; Mammalia; Carnivora; Mustelidae
Exons: 2
Source: RefSeq, a predicted model, not a curated record
AAAGGGCCCACAAAGAAAGAAUAACCCGCGCCUCCAAGGACCAGGACGUCACUGCAAGUGUCGCAGGGAAUCUUCUUUAAUGGAACGUUACUCCCCGUGCUUCAGGAAGCAAGGCAGGCUGGUAUAAGAGGGGCGGGGAUCCCGAAGGUCCUGAUGGGAGUUGCAGUUCUCUUGCGCACUGUUUCCACCGAACCAGCGGCGUUUCGCGGAAUUUCACGAGGGACCUUCUUAUCCCUUAAGAUAGGAGUUGGAUAUCGCCUCCCUCUUCAUGGGUGUGGACGAAAUGAUGGAUGAAUAAAAUGAAUGGCUUAAGAAA